GGCCGGUUGGCUCGGUCAGUUGAGCAUGGCACUAACAACGCCAAGGUUGUGGGUUCAAUUCCCGUUCGGUCC
RNAcentral lists this transfer RNA (72 nucleotides) under Apaloderma vittatum (bar-tailed trogon). It matches the Rfam family "tRNA". Rfam says of the family: Transfer RNA (tRNA) molecules are approximately 80 nucleotides in length. Their secondary structure includes four short double-helical elements and three loops (D, anti-codon, and T loops). Further hydrogen bonds mediate the characteristic L-shaped molecular structure. tRNAs have two regions of fundamental functional importance: the anti-codon, which is responsible for specific mRNA codon recognition, and the 3' end, to which the tRNAs corresponding amino acid is attached (by aminoacyl-tRNA synthetases). tRNAs cope with the degeneracy of the genetic code in two manners: having more than one tRNA (with a specific anti-codon) for a particular amino acid; and 'wobble' base-pairing, i.e. permitting non-standard base-pairing at the 3rd anti-codon position. The record is from Rfam by way of RNAcentral. Lineage: Eukaryota; Metazoa; Chordata; Aves; Trogoniformes; Trogonidae.